This 600-nucleotide small RNA is filed under the name uncultured Fusarium. RNAcentral describes it as "eukaryotic LSU rRNA". The stretch from base 218 to 371 matches the Rfam family "5.8S ribosomal RNA". Lineage: Eukaryota; Fungi; Ascomycota; Sordariomycetes; Hypocreales; Nectriaceae. The record is from RNAcentral.
CUUGGUCAUUUAGAGGAAGUAAAAGUCGUAACAAGGUCUCCGUUGGUGAACCAGCGGAGGGAUCAUUACCGAGUUUACAACUCCCAAACCCCUGUGAACAUACCUUACUGUUGCCUCGGCGGAUCAGCCCGCUCCCGGUAAAACGGGACGGCCCGCCAGAGGACCCCUAAACUCUGUUUCUAUAUGUAACUUCUGAGUAAAACCAUAAAUAAAUCAAAACUUUCAACAACGGAUCUCUUGGUUCUGGCAUCGAUGAAGAACGCAGCAAAAUGCGAUAAGUAAUGUGAAUUGCAGAAUUCAGUGAAUCAUCGAAUCUUUGAACGCACAUUGCGCCCGCCAGUAUUCUGGCGGGCAUGCCCGUUCGAGCGUCAUUACAACCCUCAAGCUCUGCUUGGUAUUGGGCUCUGCCGGUCCCGGCAGGCCUUAAAAUCAGUGGCGGUGCCAUUCGGCUUCAAGCGUAGUAAUUCUUCUCGCUUUGGAGGCCCGGGUGUGUGCUUGCCAGCAACCCCCAAUUUUUUCAGGUUGACCUCGGAUCAGGUAGGGAUACCCGCUGAACUUAAGCAUAUCAAUAAGCGGAGGAAAAGAAACCAACAGGGAUUG